CCUACGUGUGGCAGCAGUGGGGAAUAUUGCGCAAUGGGCGAAAGCCUGACGCAGCGACGCCGCGUGAGGGAUGAAGGUCUUCGGAUCGUAAACCUCUGUCAGCAGGGAAGAACGGUCACUGUGCUAAUCAGCAGUGAAUUGACGGUACCUGCAAAGGAAGCACCGGCUAACUCCGUGCCAGCAGCCGCGGUAAUACGGAGGGUGCGAGCGUUAAUCGGAAUUACUGGGCGUAAAGCGCUCGUAGGCGGUAUGUCAAGUCAAGGGUGAAAUCCCCGCGCUCAACGUGGGAACUGCCUGUGAAACUGACAAACUGGAGUGUGUGAGAGGAUAGUGGAAUUCCAGGUGUAGGAGUGAAAUCCGUAGAUAUCUGGAGGAACAUCAGUGGUGAAGGCGACUAUCUGGCACAUAACUGACGCUGAGGAGCGAAAGCGUGGGUAGCAAACAGGAUUAGAUACCCUAGUAGUC
RNAcentral lists this ribosomal RNA (465 nucleotides) under uncultured bacterium. Its description in RNAcentral is "partial 16S ribosomal RNA". It matches the Rfam family "Bacterial small subunit ribosomal RNA", at positions 338 to 795 of the family's 1533-position model. The record is from RNAcentral.